RNAcentral lists this transfer RNA (360 nucleotides) under uncultured Microcystis sp. RNAcentral's name for it is "partial 16S-23S ribosomal RNA intergenic spacer". The stretch from base 134 to 207 matches the Rfam family "tRNA". Lineage: Bacteria; Bacillati; Cyanobacteriota; Cyanophyceae; Chroococcales; Microcystaceae. The record is from RNAcentral.
AAAGGGAGACCUAAUUCCGGUAGGAGACGAAAAAAAAGUAGUCCCUACCAAGAAUCAAUCCCAAAAGGUCGGAACGAGGUAUGAGGCUUUCAAACUAGGUUCUGGGUUCAUAAAAGACCUGAAUCAGGAACAAGGGCUAUUAGCUCAGGUGGUUAGAGCGCACCCCUGAUAAGGGUGAGGUCCCUGGUUCGAGUCCAGGAUGGCCCACCUGCACAGGUGGCAAAAACAAAAGAAGCGAGGAAUCAGCGCCUUAUCUUAUAUACAUAUAUAAGAGAGAAUGCUGGCUCUGAGUACAGAGUCCAGAGGAACCUUGAAAACUGCAUAGAGCUAGGUGAAAAAGCCAAAAAAGAAGACCGCAAG